GGGCGGUUAGCUCAGCUGGAAGAGCACCUGGUUUACACCCAGGGGGUCGUCAGUUCAAACCUGGCACCGCCCA
Molecule: non-coding RNA, 73 nt
Organism: Spirochaetes bacterium GWB1_66_5
Lineage: Bacteria; Pseudomonadati; Spirochaetota
Source: Rfam